RNAcentral lists this long non-coding RNA (736 nucleotides) under Manihot esculenta (cassava). Its description in RNAcentral is "long non-coding RNA (MESC_LNC001294)". The record is from RNAcentral. Lineage: Eukaryota; Viridiplantae; Streptophyta; Magnoliopsida; Malpighiales; Euphorbiaceae.
UAAAAUAUAGUCUAUAAUCCAAUAGUCCAAUAUAAAUAUAAAGAAAGUUGCAUAAUCCAAAAGUCCAAAAUUACAUGAUCCAAAUUCCAUUUUAGUCCAAUAUAAUUAUAGUGUUGGCUAUUUAUUUCAUUUUAGCUGAUGAAUCUUUCGAUUGUGAUGAAUAAAAGACAUAUUUUCAUGAUGCAAUUUAAGCUCUUAUUCUAAUUUCCUAAAUUAUUCACAUAAUAUUUUUAUUUACACAUUCAAACAAGAUUAAAUAACAGUUAACACAAUCUAGAACAGAAUACUUCACAGCCAUGGGUUUACUUCAACUGAAAUUAUAUUGUAUAUAUAUAUAUAGUUAGUUAGUUAGUACCUAGUGAGGGUUUGAAUUUUCCUGCAGCCUCAACUCGAUUAUUUGUAAGGCGAGAUUCUUUUCCUUUCACUCUUCCUAAUUGAAAUUCAAGAAAUUAAAAGAAAGAACAACCUUUUGUCAUUGUGAUGAAGGAGACUGGUUCUUUCUUGAGAUCUAUUCACCAAAAAAGAAACUUUUGCAUGCCCACAGGAAAAAACAACCACAAUAACUCACUACUAAUCACUAGUUUAAAGGCUUAAAUAUAAUUAAAAUAUAGAUAACUUAAUAAAAUAAACUUCAAUGACAUAAAAGAAACUAACGAGAUGUAGAACCUAGGAGCUAUGAAUUUGAUUGGCCAUAGCUUCUGAAAGUUAACUUUUUUUUUAGCAAGCAGUGUUUCUU